GAUGAACGCUAGCGGCAGGCUUAACACAUGCAAGUCGAGGGGCAGCGCGGGUAGCAAUACCUGGCGGCGACCGGCGAACGGGUGAGUAACGCGUGAGCAACGUGCCCGUAUGUGGGGGAUAGUCGAUGGAAACGUCGCGUAAUACCCCGUAACACAUUUCCCCGCAUGAGGAGAUGUUGAAAGAUUUAUUGCAUACGGAUCGGCUCGCGUGCCAUUAGGUAGACGGCGGGGUAACGGCCCACCGUGCCGACGAUGGCUAGGGGUUCUGAGAGGAAGGUCCCCCACAUUGGAACUGAGACACGGUCCAGACUCCUACGGGAGGCAGCAGUGAGGAAUAUUGGACAAUGGCCGGAAGGCUGAUCCAGCCAUGCCGCGUGCGGGAGGACGGCCCUAUGGGUUGUAAACCGCUUUUGCGAGGGAGCAAUAAGGUCCACGUGUGGGCCGAUGAGAGUACCUCGCGAAUAAGCAUCGGCUAACUCCGUGCCAGCAGCCGCGGUAAUACGGAGGAUGCAAGCGUUAUCCGGAUUUAUUGGGUUUAAAGGGUGCGUAGGCGGUUUGCUAAGCGGGAGGUGAAAUGCCGGCGCUCAACGUCGGAAGUGCCUCCCGAACUGGUGGACUGGAAUGACUCUGCCGUGGGAGGAAUGUGUAGUGUAGCGGUGAAAUGCUUAGAGAUUACACAGAACACCGAUUGCGAAGGCAUCUCACGAAGGGUUGAUUGACGCUGAGGCACGAAAGCGUGGGGAUCAAACAA
Molecule: ribosomal RNA, 751 nt
Filed under: uncultured bacterium
Lineage: Bacteria
Description: bacterial SSU rRNA
Rfam family: Bacterial small subunit ribosomal RNA
Source: RNAcentral